AGGGCAGCUAGCCUGAAUGCUUCGUUGAUAUCUUUUGUAUGUACCUAGAAAGCAAAGAAGGCUUCCAGCAUAUCCGAAGGAUCCAUUCUGAAGAACAUGUGGAAGGAUAUGAACAAGUAUCACCUAGAACAGGUCUACAUCUCCUUCUGCCUGCUGGAGGUCUACUAACAGCUCCUCCAACUCAACAUGACCCACCUGGAACUCAUCAUAUUUUCCUUUUUCUGGGCCUAUGAUUUAACUAGCAUGGCUUGGUUUCGGAGGAAAGUGAAGAGGAGGUGGUGCUUUUUGGUGAUAUAAAAGGUAAUCCAUAACCCAGAUAUCAUUGAAGGAUGCCCACAAAUGGAAGAGAGAAAUAAAAUUCCUGGGUAUUGUUAGCAA
Molecule: long non-coding RNA, 378 nt
Organism: Monodelphis domestica (gray short-tailed opossum)
Lineage: Eukaryota; Metazoa; Chordata; Mammalia; Didelphimorphia; Didelphidae
Source: RefSeq, a predicted model, not a curated record